GACGAACGCUGGCGGCAUGCCUAACACAUGCAAGUCGAACGAGACCUUCGGGUCUAGUGGCGCACGGGUGCGUAACGCGUGGGAACCUGCCCUUAGGUUCGGAAUAACUCCCCGAAAGGGGUGCUAAUACCGGAUAAUGUCUUCGGACCAAAGAUUUAUCGCCUUUGGAUGGGCCCGCGUUGGAUUAGCUAGUUGGUAGGGUAAAAGCCUACCAAGGCGACGAUCCAUAGCUGGUCUGAGAGGAUGAUCAGCCACACUGGGACUGAGACACGGCCCAGACCCCUACGGAAGGCAGCAGUGGGGAAUAUUGGCCAUUGGGCGAAAGCCUGAUCCAGCAAUGCCGCGUGAGUGAUGAAGGCCUUAGGUUUGUAAAGCUCUUUACCCGGGAUGAUAAUGACAGUACCGGGAGAAUAAGCUCCGGCUAACUCCGUG
This 432-nucleotide ribosomal RNA is filed under the name uncultured bacterium. Its description in RNAcentral is "partial 16S ribosomal RNA". It matches the Rfam family "Bacterial small subunit ribosomal RNA", at positions 28 to 507 of the family's 1533-position model. The record is from RNAcentral.